Molecule: long non-coding RNA, 3326 nt
Filed under: Ananas comosus (pineapple)
Lineage: Eukaryota; Viridiplantae; Streptophyta; Magnoliopsida; Poales; Bromeliaceae
Description: long non-coding RNA (ACOM_LNC041828)
Source: RNAcentral
AAAAUACAUGCUUUAUAUGUAUUUGUGUGUGUGUUUCCUUCUAGUGGAAGAAGGUUGGAUUUUGUUGUGAAUCCGUGGUCGAUCGAAAUGAAUCGAAAGUGUAGCUUUGUUGUCUCGGAGGUGCUGAUCGCACUGGUGCAAUCCGUUCGCAAAUCUGACGGACGGAUCUGCGGAGAUCGCACGUUGAUUGAGGAGAGGUCGGUGUUGGAUAAUGGGUAAUUUCGCAAAGUUGCGAUAUUUUAUGUGUCGUUUCGCGAGAUUUCGGACGACGAGGUACGUAUGCACAAAAUUCACGCGCUAUGAAGGUCUCAGUAUGAAAUACUGACUUUGGGAGGACUUUUGUGCAAAAUGCCAUUUGCAUAAAAGUGGUCACUUAGGGUUUCCCCAUGGAAACCCUAACCCUAGGCCUCCCUCUUCCUCCAACUGCGCCCCAGCCGUCGCAGCACCUCUCCAACCCUCGCCGGGCGCACCCCGGCCACCGGCGGGUGAUUCCGGCCGCCGAAAAGGGGCCGGGAUUGCUUUCCCCUCCACUUUGUAUCCUCCAUCUCGGCCGGAAACCAUCUUCGGACCGUCCAGCCUCGGACUCUCUCUCUCGGCCGUGACUCAACCACCAGCAACUCCCCUGCCGAUCACCGCCGCCGUCGCGCGUCGCCGUCGCUGCCAAGGCACUGCUCGGCCAAGCUUGGUCAGCCCGGGCCGAGCCCGAGCUUGUUCCAGACCCGCGUGCUACCUCCGCCUCUGGGAUGGCCGCGCCUCUCUCCUUGGACUCCGGCGACCCAUCUUCGCCGUGGCCGCAGUCCCCGCGGGCCGCCGGUGGCCGCCCCUGCUCCCUGCGGCCGUCCCGUGCAGAGUUGGGCGAGCCGAGGUGGUUUGGUCUCCGCGCUGCGCCGCCGCCUCCUUGCGCCGGCCGAGCCCCCUUCCUCUGGCAUCCCGUGGACCAACGUUGUUGCCGGAGCUUCCCCUAGCCGUCGCUGUGGCCGCCGUCGCUCCCUGUGCCCGAGCCGAGCCCAUGCGGGCUCAGGAUGCUCCAGCGCCGCCGCGGCCGCCUCUCGCCGCCGGCCGGCGUGAGCACCAACUCCGCCUGGCCGGCCGUGCCCGUCAACCGCCGGAGACGCUGCCGCCGGAGCUCGCUGUCCGCCGGAAUGAGCCCAUGCUCUCCUCGGGUUAGGUGACUAGGGCAUCAAUGCCCGCCGUCAUCGCUGCCUCCCGUCGCCUGACGACGCGAGCCCCGGCCUCCUCUGACCUGGUGUACCUUCCCCUGGCCGGCCUGCCCGCUGUCCGGCCGCCGCCGGCCACCCCGAGCCCUGCCUAGCUCCGGUAAGGCUGUUUUUAGAUUCCAGCACAGUAGCUUAGCUUUCCGGCCACCUUCCCGGUGAUCCGACGACUCCCCGACACCCCAGGAGGUGAGCACGGUGAUCGUGGGUUCGUGCUGAACACGAUGCUCACCUCUGUGAGGGUUAGGGAUGCCCUGGUUAGCGGGUUUAGGUAGAUUUUCAUGCUGUGCGCGCUUGUUCGCUGAACGUCGUGCCGCUCGUGCGCGCGCUGUUGCGGCCGGCAGUGCUCCGAAAGGUGAGCACGGCCUCAGGCAUGCUGAAAUCUAGCAGCAGGUGUGAUGUCACCCUUCGUUGAUCCCUGGUUUGCUUGUACGACUAGUCGGAGCCAUGAAAUCACAUAAAAUGAUGUGAUUUCAUGUGUCGUUAGGGACUUGUAUGCCGUUCGCUUUGUUGUAGCUGUUGUUGGCGGCAGGUCAGGGCUGGGGACAACCUCUGGACUGAUUGUCCAAGGCCCCAGACCCUUGCGAAGAUCGGAAAUGCAUUUCCGGUGCGUUUUUCGGCGAAAUCCGCCGACGGAACGCGGGUUCGGUUCGGAAUUAUUCCGACGAUGCUUUGUGAGCUAUUGUGUAGUCGCUGAGCCUUGUUGGCGGGUCACCAUCAUCACAUUGUGGGUUCGGUGAUGAUGGGUGAGCGACGGUGGGUUCCAGUGUCGAAAUAGACACUUCCGGGAACCCGAAUUCGCACAAUUAUCCGGCGAUAAUUGUGUAGGGGUGUUAUCUUGUGUUUACUACCCAAACAUCCAAAUUGGAGUGUUUUGGGGCAGCAGGUGACUCGUGGCACGAGUCGGUGAGUUCGGGACACUUAGUGGGUCCCGACGGCGUCCCGGUGUGGUUUUCGGGACUUCCGGUGAGUUACGAUGAUCGGUUUUGGGAAACCGAUACGGGGUUCUGUGUGGGGUUUGUGAGACAGUGUACUUCAGGUGAGUGGGUUGGUUACUGACCCGUGGGAUCUUCGUAGGUCCGGUCGACUUGUGCGUACCCAGUGUUCCGACGCGACAGUGACAGGUGGGUACUUCGAUCCGAAGUCGGUACAGUGGUGCACGCUCGGUGAUAUUCUUCUAUCCCUGUUCUUCUGUUGCUAUUUUCGUAUUAUAUAUUGAGCUUGCAUCCCCGUUGUUUCUAUUAUACUCUACUCAUAUGUUUCUAUGCCUAGUAUCAUGUGUAGGAGUAGAGUAGUUUAUCCAUAUGUGAUAUCGGUGACCUGAUUGGUCGGUUCUCGUACUUUGUUCCGGUGACCUAAUUGGUCGGUUCUCGUACUUCGUUUCGGUGACCUAGUUGAUCGGUGCUUUUAUCUUAUAUCUGUUGACCUGGUUGGUCGGUUGUUGCAUUAUGUAUUGGGUUGGUCUGUUUCUUGACUUCUGUUGUUCGAUGACCUUUGAGGUCGGUGUACCCUGAGGGGUAGGAUUGUCGGCUGGUGCUGACGGUAGUUCUGGACUAUAUCGAAUACACUCCUGUGACCUAUCGGUCGGUUCUUGCGUUCGUACUUUUAGUUGACAUCGAGCAGUAUCUACAUAUUAUCUUUAUUUACUCUGCCUGGUUGUUCUAUGUGUAGUAUCCUGUAUAGGGGUAGAGUAGAUGGCAUUCGUAUAUACUAUACUUGUGACCUGGUUGGUCGGUUCUCCUGUUUGCAUCGGUGACCUGUUUGGUCGUUCGUUACUUUCCGUAUAUUGACCUAUCUUGGUCGGUUCACGUUGUUACUUGAUGACCUACACGGUCGGUUAGCCCCGAGGGGCGGUGAUUGUCGGCUGAUUGCCGACGGUUGGCUAUUGAUCAUAUCCGCAUUGAUCGCCACAGCUCGAGUGCAUUUCACGUACACCAGCGGGUUGAUCCCCCGCAGGAGGGUGUUCUUUUCCGGAAAAGUGGUCGUACAUCCGACCCGUGAGCCCAGCGGUGUUCUCUUUGUGCUAGGGUUACAUGCCAGGUGUGAGCAGAUAGUGGCUUUUGCCUGAGGUCCUUAGACCGACACGGCGGUUUAGAUUGGGUACUUUUGGAC